GACGAACGCUGGCGGCGUGCUUAACACAUGCAAGUCGAACGGAAAGGCCCUGCUUUUGUGGGGUGCUCGAGUGGCGAACGGGUGAGUAACACGUGAGUAACCUGCCCUUGACUUUCGGAUAACUUAAGGAAACUGGGGCUACUACCGUAUAGCAGCUCCUGCUGCAUGGUGGGGGUUGGAACGUCUCGGCGGUAGGGGAUGGACUCGCGGCUUAUCAGCUUGUUGGUGGGGUAGUGGCUUACCAAGGGUUUGACGGGUAGCCGGCCCGUGAGGGGGACCGGCGACAUUGGGACUGAGGUACGGAGCAGACGCCAAUGGGAGGCAGUGGUGGGGAACAUUGCACAAUGGUCCGACGUCUGAGGCAGCAACGUCGCGGUCGUGAUGACGGCCUUUGGGUUGUAAACCGCUGUCGCUUGUUACGAAGCGUUAGUGACGGUAAUGGGUAAAGAAGCACCGGCUAACUACGUG
Molecule: ribosomal RNA, 468 nt
Filed under: uncultured bacterium
Lineage: Bacteria
Description: partial 16S ribosomal RNA
Rfam family: Bacterial small subunit ribosomal RNA
Source: RNAcentral